RNAcentral lists this transfer RNA (75 nucleotides) under Candidatus Woesearchaeota archaeon. RNAcentral describes it as "tRNA-Arg". It matches the Rfam family "tRNA". From Rfam's summary of the family: Transfer RNA (tRNA) molecules are approximately 80 nucleotides in length. Their secondary structure includes four short double-helical elements and three loops (D, anti-codon, and T loops). Further hydrogen bonds mediate the characteristic L-shaped molecular structure. tRNAs have two regions of fundamental functional importance: the anti-codon, which is responsible for specific mRNA codon recognition, and the 3' end, to which the tRNAs corresponding amino acid is attached (by aminoacyl-tRNA synthetases). tRNAs cope with the degeneracy of the genetic code in two manners: having more than one tRNA (with a specific anti-codon) for a particular amino acid; and 'wobble' base-pairing, i.e. permitting non-standard base-pairing at the 3rd anti-codon position. Lineage: Archaea; Nanobdellati; Candidatus Woesearchaeota. The record is from RNAcentral.
CCCUCCGUAGCCCAACCUGGAUAGGGCGUCUCCCUCCUAAGGAGAAGGUUGUGGGUUCGAAUCCCAUCGGAGGGG